UUGGGUAACUGAGUCAUAACCGUCGUAACUGGGAUCGGGGCUUGCAAUUGUUCCCUGUGAACGAGGAAUUCCUGGUAAGUGCAAGUCAUAAGCUUGCGCUGAUUACGUCCCUGCCCUUUGUACACACCGCCGUCGCUACUACCGAUUGAAUGGUUUAGCAAGGUAAUCGGAUUGGUGACAUUGUAGUGGCUUCGGCCGCUCAAAUGACGCUGAGAAGAUGACCAAAGUUGAUCAUUUAGAGGAAGUAAAAGUCGUAACAAGGUUUCCGUAGGUGAACCUGC
This 281-nucleotide ribosomal RNA is filed under the name Echinostomatidae sp. WYAK-2013. Its description in RNAcentral is "partial 18S ribosomal RNA". It matches the Rfam family "Eukaryotic small subunit ribosomal RNA", at positions 1542 to 1818 of the family's 1831-position model. The record is from RNAcentral. Lineage: Eukaryota; Metazoa; Platyhelminthes; Trematoda; Plagiorchiida; Echinostomatidae.